UAUUUAUAUUUAACAUAUUAAAUAUUUUAAAUAAUGAUUUUGAAUUUAUUUUUAAAUACUUAUAUUUUCUCAGCCCACCUACCUGUCUGAGCUGCUUUACACCUACUUAUGAGCGGUCACAUGAAGGUCAACUUGAGAAAUUACCCCAGACUUUAUCAAUCAAUAGCUAAGAGUGUGUUUACAUGAAAGAGGCAGAGUUCCCAUGUUUAUAAUUCUGACCAAUCAGAAACAGACACAGGUCUAUUGUCAGCAGAGCCGCUGAUUUUCUGAAGAUGAUUAAACAUGUCAGAGGUUAGACACAGACUAAGCAGCAGCUAUAACAGAAGGGUACAUAUUACUAAUCUGUUUUCUGUUUGAGUGUGUGUGUGUGUGUGUGUGUGUGUGUGUGUGUGUGUGUGUGUGUGUGUGUUUAGCUCAUACAGAAAUCAAAGUGAAGCCUGGACAAGAGGCCACCUUUCACUGUGCGUGUCCAGAGCUGCAGCCAUCACCCUGCUGGAGUGGAGCAGACACGGCCUCGAUUCUUUGUUCUAUCGUAACUCGUUUCAAAGAUACCAGCCUGAGUCCUUUGGAGACCGAGUGGAGUUGAAGGAUGGAGACCUCACUUUGAUUCUGAAGAACGUCACCAUCAACGAUAACGGCACGUACAAGUGUCGGAUUGUGUUCAGGAACAAAAACAGCACAGAGAGACUGUUCAGGGGCAUUAAGUGCUUCAUCAACCUCACAGUGACGGCCUCGGGUUUCACAGAUGAAGACACAAAUAGUGGAGGAGACAAGGGUGGAGGAGAUUGGGAUUGGACUCUUUUAUUAAUAGUUUUUCUGUCAGUUUGGGCUGUGUUUGUUGUUCCUGCUGUUUCUGCUGUCGUCAUAAUUACCUGCAAGGAACAAAAGCCGUUAUAG
RNAcentral lists this long non-coding RNA (897 nucleotides) under Oreochromis niloticus (Nile tilapia). Its description in RNAcentral is "lncRNA (ENSONIG00000031448.1)". Lineage: Eukaryota; Metazoa; Chordata; Actinopteri; Cichliformes; Cichlidae. The record is from RNAcentral.